This 592-nucleotide unclassified non-coding RNA is filed under the name Stylophora pistillata. RNAcentral's name for it is "uncharacterized LOC111340188, transcript variant X1". The record is from RNAcentral. Lineage: Eukaryota; Metazoa; Cnidaria; Anthozoa; Scleractinia; Pocilloporidae.
CACCACAACAUAAUGAAACAUUUCUUGAAUGUUAUAGCGUAAUUUCUAGAAAAUUCGUAACAACAUCGAGAAAAGCAACAAAUCAAAGAAACCAAGAUGCUUGAUGAUUGGAGACAAAAGUAUAGUCUGGAAACAGUGGAAAGGUGCCUUCCAUUGGGAUCUGUGAAUCCCAUUUUUUUCUUCCAUUACAUGAGCAGCUGGAUCCUGCUUCAAGAAUGAGAAAUCACUUGGCAGUAGAUGUACUUGACAAAAAAAUGCUUAUCUUGAUGCGGUUAAUCUUUGGCAGAGUUAUCGAGAUCACAUCAUGGCAUCAAUGGAAGACCAAGAGCUCAACAAUGGAACCCCCUUGGACUGUGCACUUCAACUAUUUCAACACACUGUAGAAAUUGUGGACUUGUUCAACUCUAAAUGUCCACUAACAAACAUCAAUGACAUCAGGCUGAGAACGUUGAACCGUUUUUCUUUUUUCAUGUUGGAUUGGAGAGAGAACUGAGUACAGAUGACAAUAGCCCAUUAUUUUCUGAAUUACCCUUGGCCUCAUUUUCAAAACGAGUCCUGGUGCUCAUCCUUUCAUAUGAUAGUAAGUUUUCAU